AGAUUUCGAAUCUGGUACAAGAAUUGCUUUGCUAUUUUUUCCGGUGACCGCUUAUCUUUCACUUUAAUUUAGGCCAAGCAAAGGUAAGUUGUUAUCUUCUUGUUAUUGUUCAUAUUGAAGUCUAGUGAAGCCAUGUGUGGCUGAUCUUGGGUGUAUUUAUACGCCUAAGCACCAUAAUUUAUUCAUGUUUUAGCUAAGUUUAGAGAACAAAAUUCCUAGUUUCUUGAGUUUUUACUCUACUUCUAUGUAAUUGAGCUAACCGAUAUGAUUAGUAUGAUUUCAGGUAUUAAUGAGGUAAAUGAAGACAUAAUGGGAUUUUGGAAUUUGGAUGGCAUAGACAUAAGAGAGAGUAGCAGUUUGGACCAAAUGUGGCACCUAAAAAUUAUGUCCAAGACUAAUUUGUUAUUUACAAUUAGUUCAGAGACUUAGAAGGCAAUUAUGAGAGAAGAGAUUAUUAAAAGACUUAAUGCUGAAUUUUUAUUCAUUAUUUAUUAUUCUGUAUUAGUUUUUGAAGAGGGAGAGUGGCGGC
RNAcentral lists this long non-coding RNA (529 nucleotides) under Capsicum annuum. RNAcentral describes it as "long non-coding RNA (CANN_LNC005352)". The record is from RNAcentral. Lineage: Eukaryota; Viridiplantae; Streptophyta; Magnoliopsida; Solanales; Solanaceae.